Molecule: ribosomal RNA, 885 nt
Filed under: uncultured Campylobacterota bacterium
Lineage: Bacteria; Pseudomonadati; Campylobacterota
Description: bacterial SSU rRNA
Rfam family: Bacterial small subunit ribosomal RNA
Source: RNAcentral
GUCCCAAAACUGCCUGACUAGAGUCCGGGAGAGGCAGGUGGAAUUGGUGGUGUAGGGGUAAAAUCCGUAGAGAUCACCAGGAAUACCCAUUGCGAAGGCGACCUGCUGGAACGGUACUGACGCUGAGGCGCGAAAGCGUGGGGAGCAAACAGGAUUAGAUACCCUGGUAGUCCACGCCCUAAACGAUGGAUGCUAGUCGUUGGGACCCAUGAGGUCUCAGUGAUGCAGCUAACGCAAUAAGCAUCCCGCCUGGGGAGUACGGCCGCAAGGCUAAAACUCAAAGGAAUAGACGGGGACCCGCACAAGCGGUGGAGCAUGUGGUUUAAUUCGAAGAUACGCGAAGAACCUUACCUGGGCUCGACAUCCCUGGAACCCUCCAGAGAUGGAGGGGUGCCCCUUUUAGGGGAGCCAGGUGACAGGUGCUGCACGGCUGUCGUCAGCUCGUGUCGUGAGAUGUUGGGUUAAGUCCCGCAACGAGCGCAACCCUCGCCCUUAGUUGCCAGCACUUAGGGUGGGCACUCUAAGGGGACUGCCCGGGUAACCGGGAGGAAGGUGAGGAUGACGUCAAGUCAUCAUGGCCCUUAUGCCCAGGGCGACACACGUGCUACAAUGGCGCGUACAGAGAGAGGCGAUACCGCGAGGUGGAGCAAAUCUCUAAAGCGCGUCCCAGUUCGGAUCGGAGUCUGCAACUCGACUCCGUGAAGUCGGAAUCGCUAGUAAUCGCGGAUCAGCCAUGCCGCGGUGAAUACGUUCCCGGGUCUUGUACUCACCGCCCGUCACACCAUGGGAGUUGAGCUCACCCGAAGCCGGGGGACCGACCCCGUAAGGGGAGGACCCUCGUCGACGGUGGGCUCAGCGACUGGGGUGAAGUCGUAACAAGGUAAC